Molecule: non-coding RNA, 233 nt
Organism: Triticum urartu
Lineage: Eukaryota; Viridiplantae; Streptophyta; Magnoliopsida; Poales; Poaceae
Source: RefSeq, a predicted model, not a curated record
AUACGUUCAACCAAUCUUUUGCAAGCAUGUAAAGUGUGCUUUCCCACAAGAUUAGGCUCCACAAGGUGACUAGUUCUCAUAUGCUUCAGAGUCUGAACUUCUGCUUUAGGUUGCAUAUAUUCUGAUGCUUUAAAAAUCUUUCACCCGACUUUGAAAUCUUCUCAAGAUCGGCAUUGAAGUCUCGGAUUUGAACAGCAAUCUUAUGACGCUUCUGAACAACAGGAAUGCAGGUG